ACGCUCGACACCUACGGGGGCAGCAGUGGGGGAUAUUGCACAAUGGGGGAAACCCUGAUGCAGCAACGCCGCGUGAAGGAAGAAGGUCUUCGGAUUGUAAACUUCUGUCCUCAGGGAAGAUAAUGACGGUACCUGAGGAGGAAGCUCCGGCUAACUACGUGCCAGCAGCCGCGGUAAUCUGAGCGGGCUGGCAAGGC
Molecule: ribosomal RNA, 197 nt
Filed under: uncultured bacterium
Lineage: Bacteria
Description: partial 16S ribosomal RNA
Rfam family: Bacterial small subunit ribosomal RNA
Source: RNAcentral